ACUACGGGAGGCAGCAGUGGGGAAUAUUGGGCAAUGGGCGCAAGCCUGACCCAGCAACGCCGCGUGAAGGAAGAAGGCCUUCGGGUUGUAAACUUCUGUUAAGAGGGAAGAGCAGAAGCCGGUACCUCUUGAAUAAACUACGGCUAACUAGGUCACAGCAGCCGCGGUAAUACGGAGGUGGCAAGCGGUGUACGGAUUUACGGGGGGUAAAGGGCGGGCAGGCGGGAAGACAAGUCAGAGGUGAAAUCCCGCGGCUCAAACGGGGAACUGCCUUUGAAACUGCUUUUCUGGAGUACCGGAGAGGUCAGUGGAAUUCCAGGUGUAGCGGUGAAAUGCGUAGAUAUAAGGAGGAACACCAGUGGCGAAGGCGAAUGACUGGACGGCAACUGACGGUGAGGCGCGAAAGCGUGGGGAGCAAACAGUAUUAGAUACCCCAGUAGUC
This 442-nucleotide ribosomal RNA is filed under the name uncultured bacterium. RNAcentral describes it as "partial 16S ribosomal RNA". It matches the Rfam family "Bacterial small subunit ribosomal RNA", at positions 338 to 795 of the family's 1533-position model. The record is from RNAcentral.